This 1313-nucleotide ribosomal RNA is filed under the name Microbacterium arborescens. RNAcentral's name for it is "bacterial SSU rRNA". It matches the Rfam family "Bacterial small subunit ribosomal RNA", at positions 63 to 1389 of the family's 1533-position model. Lineage: Bacteria; Bacillati; Actinomycetota; Actinomycetes; Micrococcales; Microbacteriaceae. The record is from RNAcentral.
CGAACGGUGAAGCAGAGCUUGCUCUGUGGAUCAGUGGCGAACGGGUGAGUAACACGUGAGCAAUCUGCCCCUGACUCUGGGAUAAGCGCUGGAAACGGCGUCUAAUACCGGAUACGAGCUGCGACCGCAUGGUCAGUAGCUGGAAAGAAUUUCGGUCAGGGAUGAGCUCGCGGCCUAUCAGCUUGUUGGUGAGGUAAUGGCUCACCAAGGCGUCGACGGGUAGCCGGCCUGAGAGGGUGACCGGCCACACUGGGACUGAGACACGGCCCAGACUCCUACGGGAGGCAGCAGUGGGGAAUAUUGCACAAUGGGCGAAAGCCUGAUGCAGCAACGCCGCGUGAGGGAUGACGGCCUUCGGGUUGUAAACCUCUUUUAGCAGGGAAGAAGCGAAAGUGACGGUACCUGCAGAAAAAGCGCCGGCUAACUACGUGCCAGCAGCCGCGGUAAUACGUAGGGCGCAAGCGUUAUCCGGAAUUAUUGGGCGUAAAGAGCUCGUAGGCGGUCUGUCGCGUCUGCUGUGAAAACCCGAGGCUCAACCUCGGGCCUGCAGUGGGUACGGGCAGACUAGAGUGCGGUAGGGGAGAUUGGAAUUCCUGGUGUAGCGGUGGAAUGCGCAGAUAUCAGGAGGAACACCGAUGGCGAAGGCAGAUCUCUGGGCCGUAACUGACGCUGAGGAGCGAAAGGGUGGGGAGCAAACAGGCUUAGAUACCCUGGUAGUCCACCCCGUAAACGUUGGGAACUAGUUGUGGGGUCCAUUCCACGGAUUCCGUGACGCAGCUAACGCAUUAAGUUCCCCGCCUGGGGAGUACGGCCGCAAGGCUAAAACUCAAAGGAAUUGACGGGGACCCGCACAAGCGGCGGAGCAUGCGGAUUAAUUCGAUGCAACGCGAAGAACCUUACCAAGGCUUGACAUAUAGAGGAAACGUCUGGAAACAGUCGCCCCGCAAGGUCUCUAUACAGGUGGUGCAUGGUUGUCGUCAGCUCGUGUCGUGAGAUGUUGGGUUAAGUCCCGCAACGAGCGCAACCCUCGUUCUAUGUUGCCAGCACGUAAUGGUGGGAACUCAUGGGAUACUGCCGGGGUCAACUCGGAGGAAGGUGGGGAUGACGUCAAAUCAUCAUGCCCCUUAUGUCUUGGGCUUCACGCAUGCUACAAUGGCCGGUACAAAGGGCUGCAAUACCGUGAGGUGGAGCGAAUCCCAAAAAGCCGGUCCCAGUUCGGAUUGAGGUCUGCAACUCGACCUCAUGAAGUCGGAGUCGCUAGUAAUCGCAGAUCAGCAAAGGGGCGGUGAAUACGUUCCCGGGUCUUGUACACA